GCGGUCUCCUGAGUCAGUGCAGGUGCACAGGGAGCGGCAGCUGGAGGCUUAGCGUGCAGGGACCCUGGCACCAGCACCUGACUCCACGGCCUUGUGCCGGGAUACGGAUCCUCCAGACCCAGCUCAGUGGCUUGGGUUCCCAUGCAUUCACAGUGAAUCUCAACCUUCAGGAGUGAACCCAACACACACAUGAACAGCACUGGUUUCAGCCUGCUCCUGCCCCAGCUGUGACCGAGACCCACCAGGAAAUGACAGUGGCCAUCAGUGUAAUGCAUGAGGCAUUUGGUGCUUCUUACAUGAAUUACCCGACUCUCGGCUCCUUGUUUAGACACCUGAUGCUCAGGGGACUCUUGCAGAGUUGGGAGUUGCAACAGACCAUACACAGAGGCUCCAGAACUGCAUCCUUUCUGAAGGCAAGAGGAGGAGCACAGUCCUUGCCCCACGUGACCUAAGUGCCAGUCUGACACAUACCUGA
RNAcentral lists this long non-coding RNA (475 nucleotides) under Chinchilla lanigera (long-tailed chinchilla). RNAcentral's name for it is "lncRNA (ENSCLAG00000026259.1)". The record is from RNAcentral. Lineage: Eukaryota; Metazoa; Chordata; Mammalia; Rodentia; Chinchillidae.